Molecule: ribosomal RNA, 242 nt
Filed under: uncultured Actinomycetales bacterium
Lineage: Bacteria; Bacillati; Actinomycetota; Actinomycetes; Actinomycetales
Description: partial 16S ribosomal RNA
Rfam family: Bacterial small subunit ribosomal RNA
Source: RNAcentral
UACUCGAGUGGCAACGGGUGAGUAACACGUGGGUGAUCUGCCCUGCACUUCGGGAUAAGCUUGGGAAACUGGGUCUAAUACCGGAUAGGAGCCAUCUUUAGUGUGGUGGUUGGAAAGUUUUUUCGGUGUAGGAUGAGCUCGCGGCCUAUCAGCUUGUUGGUGGGGUAAUGGCCUACCAAGGCGGCGACGGGUAGCCGGCCUGAGAGGGUGUACGGCCACAUUGGGACUGAGAUACGGCCCAG